AGAAGCCUCUCUAGACUCCUGCAGCGGAAGAGGAAGUGGCACAUGCAGCGCUGUACGGUGGCCGAGGGACAGCGGCUGCUCUCUGAGCCCUAAGUCCAGCAGUGCUCGGGAAGCUGCAGCGACAGUGGUUUCUGUAGUCCGAGCCUGGAGAAGGGCGCCCGGCAGCCGGCACCAUGGUGAAGGAGCAGUUCCGGGAGACGGAUGUAGCUAAGAAAAUGGACUACAGAGGAGGCACCAUCCCAACUCUCCACCUUCACUGAGCAGGAGCAGCAGAUGAAAAAAAUAGAGAAACUCACCCUCUGGCUAAAUAAUAUGACCUGCGAAAGAAAUGAGCUGUGUGAAGUCCUCGCCAAUUAUACCACCAAGGAUUUGAACAACAGGCUGAAUUUUGAGCUUGAGAUGCUCAAAAUGGAGCAUAAGCAGGUGAUGUCUGACCUGCAGAAAUUGCCCACAGAGAUCAGUGAUGCCUUGAACAAGUGCAAGGGGCUAAUUAAGGAGACUGAAUCCUUCAGGAGCAAGAGAGCCUGGGUGAAAGACUAAAGGACCUGUUGAAGCAGAAGGAGCUGGUCACCCAGCAAAAGGACAUGGCAGAAAAGCUGCAACAUCACUUCAACGUCUCUGAGAUAAGGUCAGAAAAUCUUCAAUCUGAGUUUGAGCAGGCCACAGUCCAGGAUGAGAGCCUCAUGCAGACAGAGCUGCUGCAGCAGGAGCACUAAGUCUCACAGGCAAAUCUUGAGAGAACUGAGGAGGCCAAAGAAGCCAAAGAUGCCUUGAUCCCAUGAAGCUCUCCACCUCAGAUCGAGGUCUGCUCAGAAGACAUCCCUUAUAGCUGUGAUCUCACCAGUGAGGCAAAUACCAUCUGACCUCCAGGUGAUCCAGCCCCAAUCAAUAGGUCUGUUGACUCAGGAUUUCUGAAGAAAAGAAAGCAUCACAAAUGAACUCAAGACAGAAAAACCUGAGACAAGAAUUACUGGGAACCCUGACAUUCAAUAGCAAGUGGGCCCUGUGAGGGCUACAACAACAUAGAGGGUAGAGAUGUUGGUGAGCAAGACAUUUCCUGACACUUUAAUGUGAAAGGGUUUGGCAAGCUGACUUAGUCCUCAGCCCUCUCUAGGUGGAGGGAAAUCUGUCAUGGAAGACUGUUGAUGCCAAGCUGUUCCUGACAGACUACACCAAAACCCAUCAUUUUCAUUCUCCAGGCCAGUGCUGAAGCUGACUCCAUGUCAUGCACCAGUGUUGCUGAAGACAAUGCACCACAGAGAUCUCCACAGUCCAUCAUUCGCCGGGUUAGACAGUUUUUCCUGCAUAUUUAAAAUCAGUGGGUAUUUCUCCAUUUUUCAGCUUGAACUAAAUUGCCGGUCCUGAGAAAGGAUUUAUAGAAGACGUCUGAGUUACCCUUUGAUGUUUCUUGGUACUCAGAUGCUGCCCACAUAUUUGUGGAGUCUCUAGUAAGCACACAAGAGUCUGUAUGCUGAAAGAAUCAAAUAGUGACCAAGACGUUACAGGAUCAGAAGUGUGUGAUAAUUUAUCAAAAGCUUCCCAAGGAGCACAAAGAAUGCUCUAGAAAAUCUCUCAUUCUUAGUCUCAGUGAGGGCUUGGCCUACAAAGCCUGCAGGAGGCAUGGCUACAGUAGCUUUGAAAAGGCUUUCACAUUCGCUGACUGCCUUCCUACCAUGUUUCCAAGGCCAGCCACAGGCUGUAGGUCUGUGCUGCUAAAUGUAGAGAAAGAGAAUGCUGCUGACAUUAAUUAUUUUUGUUUGGUUUUUGGUUGGGUUUUGUUUGCUUUGGGUUUUUUUUGUUGUUGUUGUUGUUAUAGAUUGAGAUUUUGCUAUUUAUUUGUUCUUUCUUUUGUUCAUUUGUUAUUUGGGUAUUUUGAUAAGGCUAUUCACUGUUUAUAUUCACUUCUCCCUAUUGAGUAAUAUUACUUUGUUUUUAUUAAUAAUAAAGUGAUUUUGAACUUUUUUGUCUUAGAACCAA
This is a long non-coding RNA of Peromyscus eremicus (cactus mouse), 1977 nucleotides long. RefSeq lists it as uncharacterized. The record is from RefSeq and is a predicted model, not a curated record. NCBI's taxonomy places the organism in Eukaryota, Metazoa, Chordata, Mammalia, Rodentia, Cricetidae. The transcript has 6 exons.